UUUGGAAUGGCUCAGAGGUAGAGUGCUUGCCUAGCAUGCAUGAGGUCCUGGGUUUGAUCUCCAGCACUACAC
Molecule: transfer RNA, 72 nt
Filed under: Marmota monax (woodchuck)
Lineage: Eukaryota; Metazoa; Chordata; Mammalia; Rodentia; Sciuridae
Description: tRNA.Ala
Source: RNAcentral